GAAAAGAAAAGCAUUCUUUUCUUCUGUAAGAUAUUUCUGAUCCUGUUUCUCCAGCAUAGUACUGCAUCAGAUUGGUGCCCAGCUAUGCCUCUGUAGGGUUCAUCAGAAGAAGCAGGUAAUUGAAAGAAACUACCUGCUGAAAAAAGCACCCAAGAUCUUAAAUUUCAUCUCCAUACAAGAAAGGAAGCUAGUUUUUCUGUCACAACUACCAUGAUGCAUUUACCACAGAUGUAUGUCUCUAAAUGAACAAGGCUAGCAUCUAGAAUGUCAGAAUCUGAACAAAGUGAAUGAUGGCCUUCAGUAGCACAAAGAACCAGCAUGAGAUUGAACAAAAGAAUUCUCCAUGUGACAUAUACACCAUGGAAUACUAUGCAGCCAUAAAAAAGGAUGAGUACCCAGAAAAGUAUUCUUCCUUUGGCUGUGGAAGUAGACACCUGAAUGCCAGUGUCAAGAACAUACGUGCAGCUGAUCUCAAUUCAGACAAUCCCUUUAUGGAAGUGGAGACAUCAAAUUGCAACUCUUCAUUGGAAGUUUUAAGUAACACAAUUUCCACUGGAGCUUUACAGUCCUGGAAAGUAAUGUCCAUGCCUCUGGGACAAAUAAGGAGUUGCUGCAUUUACUAUAUGGGAAUUGCUCCCCCUGUUUAAUUCUCUGAGCCAGUUUUGGCACUCUAAGGAGUCAACAGAGGAAAUCUGCUCAUUUUUAGUGGCAGCCUUAAGGGAAAUAGUUACAUUUCAGUCACUAGUAGUAACCAAGCUUAAGAAAAUAUAUCUGCAAAAGCUACCUGACAAUCAGAAAUGGUAGCUGAGAACCAAACACGUAUUAAGGAGCUUUCAGAAAAAUGGAGCCCACGGAGUAUCUUACGGCAGCCCAGAAUGGACAGUGUUCCCAGGCCUGCUCUCCUUGGACUGUACCUGUAUGGGUGAAGACUGAAAAAUGAACAGAAAACGUUACCUUCAGGGAUCCAAGUGAUGGCAGGUCAAAUGGUAGGCUACAUAGCUCCAAGUCAAAAGAAUUAACAAAACAGAGCAGCUCUGUUGCCUUAAUCCCAGAGGAAACAUCUAAUCAGCUACACUGCACCUUCAGUGCAGACAUUUCACCCAGGCUUUUAGCAGGCGAGGAGAAUAUAUUCAAUCAGACUUCUCAGCAGACCACUUCCUUGCCAUCCAGUUUCAUAUUGGUUAAAGACUUGGAUCAGAGACCACAGAAUCCAUUAACAGACACACCUGAAACCACAGAGAAUGCCAGCCCUGAAGCUGCAAUGCCAACCAUCCACAAGUUUCUCCAACCUUCUACCAUUAAUGUUUUGUCCUACAGACAUGGACUGGAUUCUCCAUGCUAGCUUUCCUCUGCAGGAAGCUCUUGGGGCUAUGCAUUGAGUUGGCAGAAAUGCAGACCUUGAUAUUCUUGCUUUGCUA
This 1418-nucleotide long non-coding RNA is filed under the name Homo sapiens (human). RNAcentral describes it as "non-protein coding lnc-C8orf48-9:1". Lineage: Eukaryota; Metazoa; Chordata; Mammalia; Primates; Hominidae. The record is from RNAcentral.